UUAAUUCCAGGCUUAUUUUCCAAUAAGCCUACUUUGUUACGACUUAUCCCAAUAUAUUUGGGAGCGACGGGCGAUGUGUGCAUAAUUUAGAGCCUAAAUCAUUACUUUAAUCUAAAAAUAAUUACUUUUAAAUCCAAUUUCAAAGUAAUUACCAUAUACUUUUCCAAAAAUAAAUUUAAUGUAACCCAUCUCUACUUCUAUAUAGUUACACCUUGACCUGACAUUAUAUACAUAAUAUAAAAAGAAACUACCUAUUAAUAAUUUCAAUGACAGAGAUAUAUAAACAUAAAUAAAAGUUGAAUUAAUCGUGGAUUAUCGAUUAUAGGACAGGUUCCUCUAAAAGGAAAUUAAUUACCGCCAAAACCUUUUAUUUUGAAGAAAAUAACUAUUACUAAUACAACAAAAAUUAUGUUUUAAAUAAUAGGGUAUCUAAUCCUAGUUUCAGUUUAAAAUUUAAUAUAAUAUUGUACAAUAUAAUUUAAUAUAAAUAUAAAUUCCACUUUAAUAAAUAUAUAUACUAUAAUAAAUAUAACAAAUAAUAACGUCGUUAAAAUUAUUUAAAUUGAUUUGUCUAACCGCGACUGCUGGCACAAAUUAAGUCCAAUUAUAAAUGAUUAACUGAUCCUCCGUUAACGGAGGGUAUCAAAAUUUAAAACUGAGAUUAAAAUUAAUUUUUUUUAAAAAUUAAAUAACACAAAUAAUUUUACAUGAAUUAUUAACAAAUAAAUAAUUAAAUUAGCCAGGUUCAUACUAAUU
RNAcentral lists this ribosomal RNA (756 nucleotides) under Thaumastocoris safordi. RNAcentral's name for it is "12S ribosomal RNA". The record is from RNAcentral. Lineage: Eukaryota; Metazoa; Arthropoda; Insecta; Hemiptera; Thaumastocoridae.